Long non-coding RNA from Oncorhynchus tshawytscha (Chinook salmon), 906 nucleotides. The record is from Ensembl. NCBI's taxonomy places the organism in Eukaryota, Metazoa, Chordata, Actinopteri, Salmoniformes, Salmonidae.
CCUGUUCUGGUCCCGUGUCUCUCUCUCCCUCUAUCAUCUUAGAGGUCCACUGUUUGUUCUAAACAACCCUUAGACCGUGUUAUAAAACCACAUAGUACCUGCUAACAACAACAACAGUUUAGUCCGGAGGUUACAAAGUCUUCCAAUGUCAACAUCGUCCCCAGCCUCUUAAUGUCCCAAACCCCCAGCCUCUUAAAAUGUCUUAAUGUCCCAGCCUCUUAAUGUCCCCAGCCUCUAACUCCAACAGAGAGGUUACAAAGUGUUCCAGUGUCAACAUCGUCCCCAGGCUCUUAAUGUCCCAGACCCCCAGCCUCUUAAUGCCCCCAGCCUCUAACUCCAACAGAGAGGUUACAAAGUGUUCCAGUGUCAACAUCGUCCCCAGCCUCUUAAUGUCCCAGACCCCAGCCUCUUAAUGCCCCCAGCCUCUAACUCCAACAGAGAGGUUACAAAGUGUUCCAGUGUCAACAUCGUCCCCAGGCUCUUAAUGUCCCAGACCCCCAGCCUCUUAAUGCCCCCAGCCUCUAACUCCAACAGAGAGGUUGCAUAAUGAUUUGAAUGAAUGUUAGUUUUCUGUCGGACCAAAGGUUGUUCUGAAUGAAGCACGUUGAACACUGUCCUCCUGUCUGUGAGGUUACACAGGUGCUGCUCACUGUCUUCCUGUCUGUGAGGUUACACAGGUGCUGCUCACUGUCUUCCUGUCUGUGAGGUUACACAGGUGCUGCUCACUGACUUCCUGUCUGUGAGGUUACACAGGUGCUGCUCACUGUCUUCCUGUCUGUGAGGUUACACAGGUGCUGCUCACUGUCUUCCUGUCUGUGAGGUUACACAGGUGCUGCUCACUGUCUUCCUGUCUGUGAGGUUACACAGGUGCUGCUCACUGUCUUCCUGUCUGUGAGGUUACACAGG